Molecule: long non-coding RNA, 278 nt
Organism: Trichomycterus rosablanca
Lineage: Eukaryota; Metazoa; Chordata; Actinopteri; Siluriformes; Trichomycteridae
Exons: 3
Source: RefSeq, a predicted model, not a curated record
UGAUACACGCAAGUUACAACUUUUCACGCUGUUUUACUCCAGUACAUAUGAGAAGCAGCAAGCUUUGAUUCUCUCGGGCAUGGAACAGCACCAAGUGAGGCGAAGACGCUCCAAGGAAAACAGUGAACACAGAAAACAUCAGAGUUUUUUCUAUUAUAUUCAGCAAGCAGGGCAGAGACUAAAUGUUUGCAAAACAACAUUCAUGUCAGUGUAUCAGCUGACAAACAGUCGCUUACAGGUUAUUCAGGAAAAGUUGCACAAAUGUGAGUUAGGGCAAA